Long non-coding RNA from Carassius carassius (crucian carp), 578 nucleotides. RefSeq lists it as uncharacterized. Lineage: Eukaryota; Metazoa; Chordata; Actinopteri; Cypriniformes; Cyprinidae. The record is from RefSeq and is a predicted model, not a curated record. The transcript has 3 exons.
GAGGGAGGGAUGCCAACACAUGGCUAACACCAGUCUGCGAUAUAGUCAAAGUCUGCAAACAGGUCCUGCUGGUGCUGGGUCAAGGGCCGGGGUUCUCUGGGGGGGGUGAGCACCGGAGCCUCUGAGGCCAGACUGAACAAUGAUGCUAUUCCUGUCAUUUCGGUAGUCAAAUGAGGUCAAAGUGCCCUGCAGAAGAAGAAAAAAAGCCUUUCAGCUGCCGCUGUUUAUACAAGAUGACACUGGAUAACGGUUAUCUUUAUGUUAAUAAAGGAAACAGAAGACAUCAAUGCAGAUGCCUGGGCAGCUUAUCUCUACGUUGUAGCGUGCCCACACAUCAUAGCGUGCGAUGUUACCCGUUUUUGCUCUUUGUUGGGGAUCUUGUCCUCAGGCAGGACUUCUGAGAAAAGCUUUGGUGUGGCAUCUUUGUCAAAGUCCAGUUUUGUCACUAUUGGGUCACUAGAGAGGGUAGACAAACACAAACAGACACGUAAAAGCACUGCCUUGAUGAAAAAAAAAAAAGACUAGUUUAACAAAGUACUUGUGUUGAUUGUAUUGUAUGUUCAUACUGUACCUCCUCA